RNAcentral lists this ribosomal RNA (424 nucleotides) under uncultured soil bacterium. RNAcentral's name for it is "bacterial SSU rRNA". It matches the Rfam family "Bacterial small subunit ribosomal RNA", at positions 26 to 456 of the family's 1533-position model. The record is from RNAcentral.
AGGACGAACGCUGGCGGCGUGCUUAACACAUGCAAGUCGAGCGGUAAGGCCUUUCGGGGUACACGAGCGGCGAACGGGUGAGUAACACGAGGGUGAUCUGCCCUGCACUCUGGGAUAAGCCUGGGAAACUGGGUCUAAUACCGGAUAUGACCUGCUCUCGCAUGGGGGUGGGUGGAAAGAUUUAUCGGUGCAGGAUGGACCCGCGGCCUAUCAGCUUGUUGGUGGGUAAUGGCCUACCAAGGCGACGACGGGUAGUCGACCUGAGAGGGUGACCGGCCACGACUGGGACUGAGACACGGCCCAGACUCCGUACGGGAGGCAGCAGUGGGAAUAUGCACAAUGGGCGAAAGCCUGAUGCAGCGACGCCGCGUGAGGAUGAAGGCCGUUCGGGUUGUAAACCUCUUUCGAGUCGAGGACGAAGCGA